ACGGGUGAGUAACACGUGGAUAACCUACCUAUAAGACUGGGAUAACUUCGGGAAACCGGAGCUAAUACCGGAUAAUAUAUUGAACCGCAUGGUUCAAUAGUGAAAGACGGUUUUGCUGUCACUUAUAGAUGGACCCGCGCCGCAUUAGCUAGUUGGUAAGGUAACGGCUUACCAAGGCAACGAUGCGUAGCCGACCUGAGAGGGUGAUCGGCCACACUGGAACUGAGACACGGUCCAG
RNAcentral lists this ribosomal RNA (238 nucleotides) under uncultured Staphylococcus sp. RNAcentral describes it as "partial 16S ribosomal RNA". It matches the Rfam family "Bacterial small subunit ribosomal RNA", at positions 102 to 334 of the family's 1533-position model. Lineage: Bacteria; Bacillati; Bacillota; Bacilli; Caryophanales; Staphylococcaceae. The record is from RNAcentral.